GGCGGUCCUGCCGCCGCGAGGGGAUGGGGCUGCGUCCUAUUAGCUAGUUGGUGAGGUAACGGCUCACCAAGGCUUCGAUGGGUAGCUGGUCUGAGAGGACGGCCAGCCACAUUGGGACUGAGAUACGGCCCAGACUCCUACGGGAGGCAGCAGUGGGGAAUCUUGGCCAAUGGACGAAGGUCUGAGCCAGCGACACCGCGUGGGGGAUGACGGCCUUCGGGUUGUAAACCCCUUUUCUGGGGAAAGAAUAAGGACGGGAGGAAAUGCCCGCCCGAUGACGGUACUCCAGGAAUAAGCAUCGGCUAACUCUGUGCCAGCAGCCGCGGUAAGACAGAGGAUGCGAGCGUUAUCCGGAAUUACUGGGCGUAAAGGGCGUCUAGGCGGUUCGGUAAGUCGUUUGUGAAAUCCCUUGGCUCAACCGAGGAGAGUCUUGCGAUACUGCCGGGCUUGGGUGUAGGAGAGGAGGGUGGAACUCACAGAGUAGCGGUGGAAUGCGUAGAUACUGUGAGGUACCCCGAUGGCGAAGGCAACCCUCUGGCCUACUACCGACGCUGAAGCGCGAAAGCGUGGGGAGCAAAGGGGAUUAGAUACCCCCGUAGUCCACGCCCUGAACAAUGUUCACUUGGUGUCGGCCGCUUAUACUGGUCGGUGCCGAAGCUAACGCGUUAAGUGAACCGCCUGAGGAGUACGGCCGCAAGGCUAAAACUCAAGAGAAUUGACGGGUCCCUGCACAAGCGGUGGAGCACGUGGUUUAAUUCGACGAUAAACGAAGAACCUCACCCAGGCUUGACAUACUAGUGGUAGAAACCUGAAAGGGGGCCGACCCUGCCUUCGGGUAGGGAGCUAGUACAGGUGAUGCAUGGCUGUCGUCAGCUCGUGUCGUGGGAUGUUGGGUUCAGUCCCGAAACGAGCGCAACCCUUGUCGUUAGUUGCCAGCGGGUAAUGCCGGGGACUCUAACGAGACUGCUGGUGAAUAGCCGGAGGAAGGCGGGGAUGACGUCAAGUCAUCAUGUCCCUUAUGCCUGGGGCGACACACAUGCUACAAUGGGGGGUACAAAGGGUCGCAAUCCCGUAUGGGGGAGCCAAUCCAUAAAAACCCCUCUCAGUUCGGAUUGAGGUCUGCAACUCGACCUCAUGAAGCCGGAAUCGCUAGUAAUCGCGGGUCAGCCAUACCGCGGUGAAUAUGUACUCAGGGAUUGUACACACCGCCCGUCACACCAACCGAGUGGGGGGUACCUGAGGUCGCUCUUCUAAGGGCGCCUAGGGUAACUUCCGCAAGAGGGGUGAAGUCGUAACAAGGUA
Molecule: ribosomal RNA, 1302 nt
Filed under: metagenome
Description: bacterial SSU rRNA
Rfam family: Bacterial small subunit ribosomal RNA
Source: RNAcentral